RNAcentral lists this long non-coding RNA (1284 nucleotides) under Ricinus communis (castor bean). RNAcentral's name for it is "long non-coding RNA (RCOM_LNC000202)". Lineage: Eukaryota; Viridiplantae; Streptophyta; Magnoliopsida; Malpighiales; Euphorbiaceae. The record is from RNAcentral.
AAAUUGAAGUACAGUACACCAUUUUAUAGAUCUAAUCACCGUCUAGAAACAUUCUAGAAUGGUGGAAUCGUUGACAGCUUAUAAUGGACUAAAAGACAAGAAAAGAAAUAACAAACUUCUAGCAAAAGACAAAAUACAAAGAGAACGACAAUAUGUAAAAUGACACAGCUGCAAAUCCUACCAGAAAGGUCUUCUAGAAGCACAAGCUUGGCCUUUCUCCCCAGCAAACCACUCACCAUUUUCAGGAUUCCUCCUACAGUUGCUAGGGUUAUGACAUGACAUUUUAGAUUCCAAAGAGGCUAAAAAGCCAAAAUUACAUCAAAAGGUGAGGGUUUGUUUUCACUAUUAUCAAACCAACUCAUAAAGAAGAAAUUUCAAAUGGGUUUUACAGACCAACUAAUGGGUCACUCAAUCAUAAACUAACCUAAAAUGAACAACAUAUAAAACUAAAAGACUAAAAAUUAUACAAACCCAAAAGAUUACAAAGUCCAUCUAGACAAGAAACCAUAAUAUUUCUCAUCUAAUAAUAUCAAAUUUUUAUUUAUAGAUGACUUUGCAGCAGCCGUCAUCGCCACCAUCGUAAACAGUCACCGUCGCUACUGCCCCCACUAGUUUUGGGCUCUCCAUCCAUUAUACACAACAUCUUCUAGGUCGUUGUUCAUCUUUAAUGAUUUCAUCUUCAUAACAUAUAGAAGAAGAUGUUAAUCUUUAGAGCCACCAUAUGAACUAAUAAAUCUAGAAAAAAUCUAGACUUUCUCUACUAAGAGAGAUGUAAGAGGAGAUAAAUCAAAGAAACUCCUACAAAAGAGCCAUAAUGGCUAGAUCAAAACAAGAAACAUGAUAGAAAUAGAAAAACUACCAAAUAUAAAAGGAAAGGAAGGUUGCUGCCAUUGACAACCGUGCAAGACGUCGGUGGCUGCAAGAGAAAAGUUAAAAAAAAAAGCUCUAGUUUUCUAGAGAAAAGGGAGAGAAUCUUUAGAGAGAGAAAAAGCUUUUCAGAUGUUUUAGUCAUUCUAAAAGAACAAUAGGUUAAAAACAUUAAAACCUCGACCAUGAUCAGAUCUGACUGAAUAUCAACCUUAACAUAGAGCAACAACAAAAGGACUACUACAUCUUAUGAUCGGCUGCUGGAAUGGAAUGGCGAUGAAAGCACCCUUGUUCAGGCCAUAAAAGACGCAAAAUACUAGUAUGUAAUUAUUGUCACGAUGUAUAACCAAAGACGAGGAGUAGAGCUUUAAUGCCUCAUAAUCAAGAUUCUCAUCCUUUGAUAUUACCACCACCAUA